Molecule: ribosomal RNA, 759 nt
Filed under: Streptomyces sp. M12(2015)
Lineage: Bacteria; Bacillati; Actinomycetota; Actinomycetes; Kitasatosporales; Streptomycetaceae
Description: bacterial SSU rRNA
Rfam family: Bacterial small subunit ribosomal RNA
Source: RNAcentral
UAAGGGUGGAUUAUUGGCGAACGGGUGAGUAACACGUGGGCAAUCUGCCCUUCACUCUGGGACAAGCCCUGGAAACGGGGUCUAAUACCGGAUACGACCUGCCGAGGCAUCUCGGCGGGUGGAAAGCUCCGGCGGUGAAGGAUGAGCCCGCGGCCUAUCAGCUUGUUGGUGGGGUAAUGGCCUACCAAGGCGACGACGGGUAGCCGGCCUGAGAGGGCGACCGGCCACACUGGGACUGAGACACGGCCCAGACUCCUACGGGAGGCAGCAGUGGGGAAUAUUGCACAAUGGGCGCAAGCCUGAUGCAGCGACGCCGCGUGAGGGAUGACGGCCUUCGGGUUGUAAACCUCUUUCAGCAGGGAAGAAGCGCAAGUGACGGUACCUGCAGAAGAAGCGCCGGCUAACUACGUGCCAGCAGCCGCGGUAAUACGUAGGGCGCAAGCGUUGUCCGGAAUUAUUGGGCGUAAAGAGCUCGUAGGCGGCUUGUCACGUCGGGUGUGAAAGCCCGGGGCUUAACCCCGGGUCUGCAUCCGAUACGGGCAGGCUAGAGUGUGGUAGGGGAGAUCGGAAUUCCUGGUGUAGCGGUGAAAUGCGCAGAUAUCAGGAGGAACACCGGUGGCGAAGGCGGAUCUCUGGGCCAUUACUGACGCUGAGGAGCGAAAGCGUGGGGAGCGAACAGGAUUAGAUACCCUGGUAGUCCACGCCGUAAACGUUGGGAACUAGGUGUUGGCGACAUUCCUCGUCGUCGGUGCCGCAGCU